AAAAAAAAAAAAAAACCCCAGCUCCUGAAACGAACGCCCUUUUCCUUCAAUCCCCACAUUCACGAUGAGAAGAGAAUCGACAAACGGUUGCUCCCACCACCACUAUCACCGGCAACGACGCUUCCACCUCCACCGGUGACCACGCUUUGCUCCUCCACCACCGGUACCCAACCCCAAGUCUUCUGUUCUCAAAUCCCCUCUCCCUAUCUCGGGCUGAUUCUCCUGGUCACUGCAGACGAGGGCAGCGCUACCCACCGCUGGCGACCACCACCACAAUCUGCUUUUGGGCAGUCCGACGUUACCACACCACGAAGGAGAAGUUGCCACCCACAGAUUCAAGGCUCAGACCCGAUCAGAGGUGCUUGGCAUGGCAAAUUCAGAGAAGUUGUGCCUCGAGCAACGGCAGCGGCAGAUGUUCGUUGGUGGAGUUCGAGCGGAGUAAAAAUAUGGCGCGGCCAAUAGAGAAAGCCAUUUGUUAAAUCUAGAGGAUGGGAAAAGAAAUCAUCUGAUUAUGCAACUAAAAAGGAUAGCUUAGCUGCUGCGAAAGUUAGCUAUGGGACCAAUAGCUUUGCAAAGACUAGUGGAAACUCGAAAAGGCAGUGAAAGAGAUUGAAGCUAUUCAAGUGAAUCAAAGGCCAAGGAAAACGAUUAAUUUGUUGUAGUUUGGAAUAUCAAUAUGUACUAAGUUUUGUACGCAAAUGAUGAAGUUAUACGCAAGUGUGCUGGAAACUCAAUGGCAAGGAUGCGGAGGACUACAAAGUUAUACGCAAAUGAUGACUGCACCGGAUAAUUUAGAAGAGUAGUUCACUUGCUUGUAUUGGUUUAUAUCGUGUCCUAUGUCCUGUAUCCCCUUUUGUGUCCCGUGUCCCCCUUUGUGUCCUUGUAAUGACCUUUCAUGAGGUAGAUAGUGUGGAGAUUUUUGUUUCUUGUUGACUUUUUUAAUGAAACGCAUUCUACUUUUGUUCAUAAAAUUGUGCCACUUUAGUUGUUGUUCACAAUG
Rhododendron vialii is the source of this 1000-nucleotide long non-coding RNA. RefSeq lists it as uncharacterized. The transcript has 3 exons. The record is from RefSeq and is a predicted model, not a curated record. NCBI's taxonomy places the organism in Eukaryota, Viridiplantae, Streptophyta, Magnoliopsida, Ericales, Ericaceae.